UAUAUCGAUACAUUUUUGGCAAAGUAACGUAAGUGACAUUUUUGGCGAAAAUCAUGUUUUUUCAUUAAACUAACGCUAUUAGUGUUUAGAAGGUACUGCCAAAGUGUAGUAAGCCUAGAAUUACUUUAAACCUUUUUUUUUUUAAAUAUUUUAAAAACGUAUGUCCAGAAUUGUUUUAAUCAUACCCGCAAAAGAAACGCAACUUUAGCACUAUUUCCAUAAUAAUAACGUAAGCAAACAUCGUUUACCGCCAUAAUAACGUAAGUACCGGUCGGAUUCUGUUACUUACGUCAGAUUUUCGCAGUCAGUGUUUGGCUUACGACAGUGACAGAUUCGUGCUACAAUCGACUAAAUUAUUGAUUUUAGGUCGAAAGCGACAAGAAAAGGUCGUUUGUGAACCUGAAAAAAUUUAUAAGCAACUGCUUCCAAUAUCCGAAUUGAAAAAAAGGGAUCUGGAAAAACUCUGCAAAAAUAAUCUCAUACCUGCCAGGUUUCAUGAUGAAUAUUUUAAAUUAAAAUGUAAGUCUUCUCUUCAAGAUGAGUUAGCAGAGACUGAUGCAAAGGAUGACACUGAUGAUGAAGCCUCCAAAACUUAAUAAAAAAUAUUAUGUAUUUAGUUUAUUAUGUAUUUACUAGCAAGAAUUUAAUAUUUCCUUUAGUUUUUUUUUCAUCUAGCUAUAUAAAUUCACUUAAAUAAAUAUCAGAUUGUUGUAACGUUAUUAUAAUAAACGAUUGUUUGUAA
Diabrotica virgifera virgifera (western corn rootworm) is the source of this 742-nucleotide long non-coding RNA. RefSeq lists it as uncharacterized. The record is from RefSeq and is a predicted model, not a curated record. The transcript is spliced from 2 exons. NCBI's taxonomy places the organism in Eukaryota, Metazoa, Arthropoda, Insecta, Coleoptera, Chrysomelidae.